RNAcentral lists this transfer RNA (69 nucleotides) under Ictidomys tridecemlineatus (thirteen-lined ground squirrel). RNAcentral's name for it is "Spermophilus tridecemlineatus (thirteen-lined ground squirrel) tRNA". It matches the Rfam family "tRNA". Rfam says of the family: Transfer RNA (tRNA) molecules are approximately 80 nucleotides in length. Their secondary structure includes four short double-helical elements and three loops (D, anti-codon, and T loops). Further hydrogen bonds mediate the characteristic L-shaped molecular structure. tRNAs have two regions of fundamental functional importance: the anti-codon, which is responsible for specific mRNA codon recognition, and the 3' end, to which the tRNAs corresponding amino acid is attached (by aminoacyl-tRNA synthetases). tRNAs cope with the degeneracy of the genetic code in two manners: having more than one tRNA (with a specific anti-codon) for a particular amino acid; and 'wobble' base-pairing, i.e. permitting non-standard base-pairing at the 3rd anti-codon position. The record is from Rfam by way of RNAcentral. Lineage: Eukaryota; Metazoa; Chordata; Mammalia; Rodentia; Sciuridae.
GGGGUUGUAGCUCAUUGGUAGAGUGCUGGCCUCGCAAAUGUGAAGCCCUGGGUUCGAUCCCCAGCACCA